AAUGUGGGAAGCUUCACAGUUUCUUCAACAAAUAAAUGGCACAGAAAUACGCGUGUGUCUGCUGGAAAGGGUUAGGGGUGUUACAAAUGAUAACAAGUCUGAGACACUUGGCAACUUAAUGGAUGUAUCAACUUGGCUAUGUCAUGAUUUGAGCAACCCACAGGAAGACGUUUUGAGACAAAGGCAGCAAAUGUGCCCUGUUUGUUUACUAGAAGAAAACACUGUUGAUGGUGGCGGGGGAAGAACGGGACUGUAGACGUUAGUUCUGAUUACGACACGGUCACGGACACUGGGUUUACUCUCCCACUUUAACCGUUUAUUAAAAUCGGGCUACGUGCAGACAGUGGACAAUAACCAGCAAAAGACUGAUUCUUCACAGAAAGAAAGCAUGAGAGCUCCAAAAAACAGAAAGGUGAUUCCUGCACAUCAAAAACUCAUUCCCUAAAGUAUGCUAUGGGACAACAGGAACACUGCAUGCCUGACUUGGUUACAGUUCAUCGCGGCACAAUGAAAUGACUUCACGUACCACACCUUAGAGCCCACACGCAUCCCGGACGUGCACACACACGAUUCAAGUGCCAGAGAGAUCUACAGACGUUGUCUCCUUCGCUUAGUCUUUCAUCCCGCCGAUCAAUAACUGUUUACUGGGCAGACACUGUUCUAAGCGCGAGAGACUUAGCAAGGCUCAAAACUGUACGGUCCGGACUCUCACCUAAGUCAGCUGUUGUGAAGAGCCAAGGAGGGAGGGGAAGCAGGCGACGCAGCCGGCCGGGGCCCCGCCCCCAAGGGACCCGGGGGGAAGAGACCUGCAGGGAGUGGGAGAGCGAGCACGCAGCCAGCUGGGAGAAGAUGUCUCAGGGAGAAGGAAUGACUAUAUGAAGGACUUACAGGGGGAACGUACUGGAGAGUUUAAGGCCCAAAAAGUCCGAGUCAGUGUGAAAAGGGGGGAGGCCUGGGGGCAGCUGGGGACCAGACUGCAGAGCCCCACAUACCACAGAAGGGCUCUUUCUUCCAAACAGGCAGCAGAGGUGAAAGCAGCAGCUGAGGGUAAGAUCUCACCGUCAGUGUUCACGAAUGACACUCAGUGCAACAGUGGACUCGGGGCAGAGCCAGGGGCCCCUGGCUGAGGGCGGCCUCGGUCAUCCCGGCGACGGCCAGAACCUAGACCGGUGGGUAUUGGUGGAAAUGGUGACUGAAUUCAGCAUUCAUUCUGAGGGUGGCACCAAGAUUUCCUGAUAGUUUUGGCAUGAGGUGUGCGGAGGGAAACAUUCAGUAUGACUCUCUCGAAGCUUUUGAUGUGAGCACCGGGGUGAACGGAGCUGGCGCUACUGAGUUGGGGAAGGCGGCCGGGAAGAGAAAGUGGGGCAAGGGACAUCAUUCUGCACAGGCCAAGGCCGAGAGGUCCCUCGGACGUCCGGAUGUCAAGUAAACAUCCAGAUAUAUACACCUAGAGUUCAGAGGGCAGGUCAGGUGGAGAUCGAAAAUUCAAAAGCCAAAAGUUUAACGAGUCACACAAAAUCAACUAGGGAGUAGAUGGGCACAGGCAAGAACAGAGGUCGAGGACUGAGCCAAGGAGUAUUCCAAAAUUCAGACGUCAGGAGAGUGAGCAGGAUCUGGCCACAGAACCCCCACAAGAAAGGUGACAAACUAAGAGACUGUCGUUUAAAUUACUGAGUCUGGUGUCAGCAAGCGACGCACACACACACACACACACACACACACACACACAGGAAGAAAGAAAGAAAGAAAAACUUACUACGAACAGUGUCAGAGUGGAGGCAUGUUCAGAGGAAGAAGGAAAAAGGCAAUGAACUCGUCAGCGAAUCUGGGCAGGUCGGGAAAGCGGAGGGGCAGCUAAGGGGAAAGGAGACCGGCGGGCUUCUGCACCUCGUGUUCGCACACUUCCUGCCGGAACCCCCUGUCGGCCGGUCGCUCCGAGGCCACAGACACUUCACGGGCUUCCGGAGGGAGACCAGGCCGACAGCCCACGAGGAGCUCGGAAGCCAGUCCUCAGGAAGUUUCUAGGCCCCCGCCCCCACUGCCAAGGUACAUACUCGGGUGUCUGCUUCUCUGCCUUCGCAUGUACUAAAGACACUGACACCUGGGUCAGCCUGCUGCCCCACCCAGACUCUCCCAGUUCCUGGGGACAGAGCAACAGCCAGGAUGACCUAUCUGACAAUUCAGCCUCACGAACCUCCUUGAUCUCCAGUGACCUGUGACUCCAUCAAAGUUCAGCGCCUGCUCCUCUGGCCACAUCCUGAACUUGCCUUUGCUUGACGGUCUUCUACCUUUGAAAUUUAAAACGUCAAUAGUAUGCUCCCCUCUCUCUCAACAUAAUCUUCUAGGUCAGCCAUGUUGAACAGUAAUAAAAUGUGAGCCAUUGGAAUAGAACUUAAAUUUUUCUGGUAUUCACAUUCAAAAGCAAAAAGUCUCACUCAUUUUGCAAGUUUCACACUUUACUCAACCCAAUACACCAAUCCCAACCCAAACGACAGUGUCAACAUCAACAUUAGUGAUGAGACGCGACCUCAAAUUCCAGUGGGUACCUGAUGCGCACCGCAUUUCAGACACUAAACUGUCCAUAGUCUAAGGCGCAGUAUAAUUUUGCCAAACAAGAGUUGUGUUUAAUGAAAAGGUGUUUUACACUGUGUAUCCCUCGGCUUCUGAGCGGUCGUCUGGAGCCCCGGAGCAUCAUGGGACGGGGGCACCGCUUCGUGCCAGACAAUCCGACGACGUGAUUUAACACGGAAGUGGCCAGGCUCAUCCAGUCUGAGGGCAGAGGCUGGCCACACUAGGAAGACCAACAACGUGACUCAGGGUGUGAGUUCUGGGUCACGCAAAGCAGACGACCCGGAGCAGCGAUGAAGCAUGUGGGCAGCCAUGAACGCUGCCCACGAAACCGGACACAGGCGCUCAGGUCAGCUUCUUACCUGCAGUCCUCGGUGCAUUUCUGUCACACAUCAGUCCCAGGACACUACGCAUCCUGUCCUCGGGGAGAGGGGAAGAAAAGCUCUGUGUUUGCUCCUGCUUAGGGGCUCUCUGCUUCUUCCCACAGCUGGUUUUAACUUGAAUCUGUUCCCUGUAGUUUCUGCAACCGUGAGUAUAACAGCCUUCAGCGAGUUCUGUGACUCUUCAUAGCAAAUUAUCGAAGGUGAGGGUGGUGUUGGAAAGUUUCCAAACUUGCGGUUGGUGGCAGAAGUGAGGGCGGCCCCGGAGGCUGUGCUCUGACCUUGUGACCCGCUGGCUCUCUCAGCCGGCCGAAAACGCGUGGCACGCGGCCUCAGAUUUUAGUUUUACAUGUCACGUCAAUCACAUUCAAAACUGAGUUCCUCAGUGGUACUACCUACAGUUCAAACACCACAGCGACAUGUGGCCAGCGGUUACUGCAUCGAGCAAUGCGAUUUUAGACUCCGAUCCCUCUGAUCCUCUAUGCUCAACACACUUGCUUCUCGAUUUCAUCUAAGCCUCUAGCUUUUUCAGUUGCUACUACUUAGGACCGUCCAGCCUGAUCUCAUGUGCCUCAUGCCCCUUUCACCCCAAGCCCAGUGACCCAGACAUUAAUGACUCUACUGUCAGUGGCCUCAACUCUUCUGCCAAAUGUCUCUCCUCGUCUGCACAGGUUCUGUAAACCACCAAUACUGGGUCGAUCCGACUGUCUUUCUUACCGCACUGAGUACCACUGAGGAAACAAAGCAUCCAAUCCGUAUAAUGGGUCAAGUUCAUGGUUUCCUAUUGCAGGGCCGCUUGUCAGCGCUUUCAGCCUGUCACUCCCAGGAGCGGCUGACUCCGCCUCCUCCACAGGCAUCCGGGUUCCUCUCCCUUCGUCCUCGACCGCCAGGCAGAAAAUCAGACAGGAGGCGGGCAGCACACUUUACUUCACACUCUUCUACCUAAAACCCACCGAGGGCCACACACAUCCUUUACCUUCUUUCUUCCAGUGUCUCUGCACAGGGCCAACUCCGGGGACCUGUGCUCACAGCUCAGGCACCGCCUGUUCCUCAGGGACCUAGGGGUGCGCUACCCUCCCACACGGAUUACAGUCGAAGUCCUCCUGCUCACUAGUCUCCUGAACUUCACCCUGAGAUCAAGUCUUGUAUUUAAACAAAACUAACCCCCCCACCUUGCACUUCGUCCGGUGCUGAGAGGAUCUGAGAUCUGACCAGAACUUGACAAGUGAAUGCGCCGCGGACGCAGGAUGCCGGCAGAAGCCCCUCGAGGCCAGAGACAAAGGGCGUCAGUGGACGCGCACAGCAGGCGGCGGGAGCACCGACUCGCCUCCUUCGGGUCCCCCAGAGCGGUGUGCCAGGGACUGGGCGUGCCGGCACAGCUAGCCGGGUGCCUUCCAGAGAGGGACCCGAAACAUGACAAUCCUUCAACCAUGACAGCUGCCAGGAGAGCUCACUACGUACCAGCUGACAGUCGAAGAAUUUGUAUUUGUAAAAAAAAAAAAACUUCUUAGAAAUUGAGAUAUAAUCAGCA
This is a long non-coding RNA of Suricata suricatta (meerkat), 4479 nucleotides long. RefSeq lists it as uncharacterized. The transcript is spliced from 2 exons. The record is from RefSeq and is a predicted model, not a curated record. NCBI's taxonomy places the organism in Eukaryota, Metazoa, Chordata, Mammalia, Carnivora, Herpestidae.